ACUCCUACGGGAGGCAGCAGUGGGGAAUAUUGCACAAUGGGCGCAAGCCUGAUGCAGCCAUGCCGCGUGUGUGAAGAAGGCCUUCGGGUUGUAAAGCACUUUCAGUUGUGAGGAAGGUGGUGUCGUUAAUAGCGGCAUCAUUUGACGUUAGCAACAGAAGAAGCACCGGCUAACUCCGUGCCAGCAGCCGCGGUAAUACGGAGGGUGCGAGCGUUAAUCGGAAUUACUGGGCGUAAAGCGCAUGCAGGCGGCCUGUUAAGUCAGAUGUGAAAGCCCGGGGCUUAACCUCGGAAUUGCAUUUGAAACUGGCAGGCUAGAGUCUUGUAGAGGGGGUAGAAUUUCAGGUGUAGCGGUGAAAUGCGUAGAGAUCUGAAGGAAUACCAGUGGCGAAGGCGGCCCCCUGGGACAAAGACUGACGCUCAGAUGCGAAAGCGUGGGGAGCAAACAGGAUUAGAUACCCUGGUAGCACAGAG
Molecule: ribosomal RNA, 473 nt
Filed under: uncultured bacterium
Lineage: Bacteria
Description: bacterial SSU rRNA
Rfam family: Bacterial small subunit ribosomal RNA
Source: RNAcentral